AGAGUUUGAUCCUGGCUCAGAUUGAACGCUGGCGGCAUGCCUUACACAUGCAAGUCGAACGGCAGCACGGGAGCAAUCCUGGUGGCGAGUGGCGAACGGGUGAGUAAUAUAUCGGAACGUGCCCAGUCGUGGGGGAUAACGUAGCGAAAGCUACGCUAAUACCGCAUAAGAUCUACGGAUGAAAGCGGGGGAUCGCAAGACCUCGCGCGAGUGGAGCGGCCGAUGGCAGAUUAGGUAGUUGGUGAGGUAAAGGCUCACCAAGCCUGCGAUCUGUAGCUGGUCUGAGAGGACGACCAGCCACACUGGAACUGAGACACGGUCCAGACUCCUACGGGAGGCAGCAGUGGGGAAUUUUGGACAAUGGGCGCAAGCCUGAUCCAGCAAUGCCGCGUGCAGGAUGAAGGCCUUCGGGUUGUAAACUGCUUUUGUACGGAACGAAAAGGUCUCUUCUAAUAAAGGGGGCCCAUGACGGUACCGUAAGAAUAAGCACCGGCUAACUACGUGCCAGCAGCCGCGGUAAUACGUAGGGUGCGAGCGUUAAUCGGAAUUACUGGGCGUAAAGCGUGCGCAGGCGGUUAUAUAAGACAGUUGUGAAAUCCCCGGGCUCAAACCUGGGAACUGCAUCUGUGACUGUAUAGCUAGAGUACGGUAGAGGGGGAUGGAAUUCCGCGUGUAGCAGUGAAAUGCGUAGAUAUGCGGAGGAACACCGAUGGCGA
Molecule: ribosomal RNA, 716 nt
Filed under: uncultured bacterium
Lineage: Bacteria
Description: bacterial SSU rRNA
Rfam family: Bacterial small subunit ribosomal RNA
Source: RNAcentral